AGUACAAUAGCUCAAUGGCAGAGCAAACGACUGAUAAUCGUUCGACCAGGGUCCGAUUCCCGUUGUACUACCA
This 73-nucleotide transfer RNA is filed under the name Nitrosomonadales bacterium. RNAcentral describes it as "tRNA-Ile". It matches the Rfam family "tRNA". Rfam says of the family: Transfer RNA (tRNA) molecules are approximately 80 nucleotides in length. Their secondary structure includes four short double-helical elements and three loops (D, anti-codon, and T loops). The record is from RNAcentral. Lineage: Bacteria; Pseudomonadati; Pseudomonadota; Betaproteobacteria; Nitrosomonadales. RNAcentral also lists the same sequence under 1 other name.